UUGGAGGGCAAGUCUGGUGCCAGCAGCCGCGGUAAUUCCAGCUCCAAUAGCGUAUAUUAAAGUUGUUGCAGUUAAAAAGCUCGUAGUUGAAUUUCGGGGUUAGUAGGCUGGUCAUGCCACCGGUAUGUACUGGUCUUACUGAUUCCUCCUUCCUGAUGAACUGUAAUGCCAUUAAUUUGGUGUUGCAGGGAAUCUGGACUGUUACUUUGAAAAAAUUAGAGUGUUUAAAGCAGGCUAACGCUUGAAUACAUUAGCAUGGAAUAAUGAAAUAGGACGUUCGAUCCUAUUUUGUUGGUUUCUAGGAUUGACGUAAUGAUUAAUAGGGAUAGUUGGGGGCAUUAGUAUUCAAUUGUCAGAGGUGAAAUUCUUGGAUUUAUUGAAGACUAACUACUGUGAAAGCAUUUGCCAAGGAUGUUUUCAUUAAUCAAGAACGAAAGUUAGGGGAUCGAAGACGAUCAGAUACCGUCGUAGUCUUAACCAUAAACUAUGCCGACUAGGGAUCGGAUGAUGUUAAUUUUUUAAUGACUCAUUCGGCGCCUUACGGGAAAC
RNAcentral lists this ribosomal RNA (549 nucleotides) under Rhizophagus intraradices. RNAcentral describes it as "SSU rRNA". It matches the Rfam family "Eukaryotic small subunit ribosomal RNA", at positions 548 to 1098 of the family's 1831-position model. Lineage: Eukaryota; Fungi; Glomeromycota; Glomeromycetes; Glomerales; Glomeraceae. The record is from RNAcentral.